This 341-nucleotide ribosomal RNA is filed under the name Pheidole laselva. Its description in RNAcentral is "partial 12S ribosomal RNA". Lineage: Eukaryota; Metazoa; Arthropoda; Insecta; Hymenoptera; Formicidae. The record is from RNAcentral.
UUAUAAUUAAGAAAAAUUUAAAAAGAAAUUAAAUGAAAUCAUUAAAAUUAAAUAUUUUGGCGGUAUUUUAAAUAGUUAGAGGAAUUUGUUAAUUAAAUGAUAAUCCACGAGUGGAAGGUCCUAAUGAAGUUUUUAUGUAUUGUUGUAUAAAAAUUAUUUUAUAAGAAUUAUAAUUAAAAUAUUUAAUUUAAUUAUAAUUCAAAUCAAAAUGUAAAAUUAUUAGGAAUAAAUGAGUUACAAUUUAAUAUAAUAUUAGAAUUAUGAUUUUUAAUAAUAUAAUGAAAGAGGAUUUAAAAGUAAAUUUAAAAAAAUUUUUAAAUUGAAAAUUUAAUUAAAAUAUG